GAUGAACGCUGGCGGCGUGCCUAACACAUGCAAGUCGAACGGAGAUUUAACGCUGAUGAAGCUUCGGCAGAAUCUUGUUAAAUCUUAGUGGCGGACGGGUGAGUAACGCGUGGGCAACCUGCCUCGUACUGGGGGAUAACAGCUGGAAACGACUGUUAAUACCGCAUAAGCGCACGGUACCGCAUGGUACAGUGUGAAAAACUCCGGUGGUACGAGAUGGGCCCGCGUCAGAUUAGCCAGUUGGUGGGGUAACGGCCUACCAAAGCAACGAUCUGUAGCCGGACUGAGAGGUCGGACGGCCACAUUGGGACUGAGACACGGCCCAAACUCC
Molecule: ribosomal RNA, 331 nt
Filed under: uncultured Butyrivibrio sp.
Lineage: Bacteria; Bacillati; Bacillota; Clostridia; Lachnospirales; Lachnospiraceae
Description: bacterial SSU rRNA
Rfam family: Bacterial small subunit ribosomal RNA
Source: RNAcentral